This 95-nucleotide small nuclear RNA is filed under the name Cricetulus griseus (Chinese hamster). Lineage: Eukaryota; Metazoa; Chordata; Mammalia; Rodentia; Cricetidae. The record is from RNAcentral.
UGGCUUUGACAGCUGAGACACUAAAAUUAGAACAGAGAUUAUCUUGGCUCCUGUGCCAGGACGACAUGCAAAUUCAUGAGGCAUCCUAUAUUUUU